RNAcentral lists this transfer RNA (74 nucleotides) under Golenkinia longispicula. RNAcentral describes it as "tRNA-Met". It matches the Rfam family "tRNA". Rfam says of the family: Transfer RNA (tRNA) molecules are approximately 80 nucleotides in length. Their secondary structure includes four short double-helical elements and three loops (D, anti-codon, and T loops). The record is from RNAcentral. Lineage: Eukaryota; Viridiplantae; Chlorophyta; Chlorophyceae; Chlamydomonadales; Golenkiniaceae.
CGCAGGAUAGAGCAGUCUGGUAGCUCGUGGGGCUCAUAACCCCAAGGUCGCAGGUUCGAAUCCUGCUCCUGCAA